This 473-nucleotide ribosomal RNA is filed under the name uncultured bacterium. RNAcentral describes it as "SSU rRNA". It matches the Rfam family "Bacterial small subunit ribosomal RNA", at positions 26 to 518 of the family's 1533-position model. The record is from RNAcentral.
AGGACGAACGCUGGCGGCGUGCUUAACACAUGCAAGUCGAACGGAAAGGCCCUUCGGGGUACUCGAGUGGCGAACGGGUGAGUAACACGUGGGUGAUCUGCCCUGCACUUUGGGAUAAGCCUGGGAAACUGGGUCUAAUACCGAAUAUGACCAUGGGAUGCAUGUCUUGUGGUGGAAAGCUUUUGCGGUGUGGGAUGGGCCCGCGGCCUAUCAGCUUGUUGGUGGGGUUAAGGCCUACCAAGGCGACGACGGGUAGCCGGCCUGAGAGGGUGUCCGGCCACACUGGGACUGAGAUACGGCCCAGACUCCUACGGGAGGCAGCAGUGGGGAAUAUUGCACAAUGGGCGCAAGCCUGAUGCAGCGACGCCGCGUGGGGAUGACGGCCUCGGGUUGUAAACCUCUUUCAGUAGGGACGAAGCGCAAGUGACGGUACCUACAGAAGAAGCACCGGCCAACUACGUGCCAGCAGCCGC